CUGGAACUGAUGCAUCAAAACCAAAACCCUGAUUGUCAGUGAAGGUGUCUUGUAUUCAUACUGUCUGAUCCAA
This 73-nucleotide small nucleolar RNA is filed under the name Oryzias melastigma (Indian medaka). Lineage: Eukaryota; Metazoa; Chordata; Actinopteri; Beloniformes; Adrianichthyidae. The record is from RNAcentral.